UGGGGAAUAUUGGGCAAUGGAGGCAACUCUGACCCAGCAACGCCGCGUGAAGGAAGAAGGUGUUCGGAUUGUAAACUUCUGUCGCGAGGGACGAAGAAUGACGGUACCUCGUAAGAAAGCCCCGGCUAACUACGUGCCAGCAGCCGCGGUAAUACGUAGGGGGCAAGCGUUGUCCGGAAUGACGGGGCGUAAAGGGAGCAUAGGCGGCAAGAUAAGUUAGAUGUGAAAGCCCGCAGCUUAACUGCGGAACUGCAUCUAAAACUGUCUAGCUUGAGUGCAGGAGAGGUAAGUGGAAUUCCUAGUGUAGCGGUGGAAUGCGUAGAUAUUAGGAGGAACACCAGAGGCGAAGGCGACUUACUGGACUGUAACUGACGCUGAGGCUCGAAAGCGUGGGGAGCAAACAGG
This 405-nucleotide ribosomal RNA is filed under the name uncultured prokaryote. Its description in RNAcentral is "bacterial SSU rRNA". It matches the Rfam family "Bacterial small subunit ribosomal RNA", at positions 355 to 776 of the family's 1533-position model. RNAcentral also lists the same sequence under 1 other name. The record is from RNAcentral.